CACACCCACACAAGGUCAGAUUCACAGGAGGUCCUGCUAGGGCCGUAACACCCUCAGUCUGAGAUAGCAUAAUAGAUGCAAAGAACAUCAGUGCUGCUGCUAUGGAAGGAGUCUGUGGAUUAUAUCUGGUCUGCUACUAGUGAUUGAACUGCAGGUCUUCCGGCUGUCUGGGAAGUGGUGCCUCUGCUUUCAAGCACUUGUACCGUGCACCCUGGGAGCGGCCUCUUCAAAAAUCUGGGAAACCUCUCCCAGGUGGAGCUACUGUGUUAUUAUGUUGAAACUAUUUCUGCAAUAUAUAUGUAUAUAUUAAAAAAAAAACAUCUGUUGACCAAGUUCUAUGUCAUCAUGAUGACAAAUGGUCUCCAUCAAUUUUCAAAUUGCCAAUGCAAAGAUUUGUUUCUGCGAGAAUGUUUCCCUGAACUACAGCGAGCACUGACUCACUCCUGCAGUAGUUUGGUUUUGGUUGUUUCCAUCAUUAAAGUGGUUCUCUGGUUUCUGUUCA
Molecule: long non-coding RNA, 502 nt
Organism: Oreochromis niloticus (Nile tilapia)
Lineage: Eukaryota; Metazoa; Chordata; Actinopteri; Cichliformes; Cichlidae
Exons: 2
Source: RefSeq, a predicted model, not a curated record